RNAcentral lists this ribosomal RNA (465 nucleotides) under uncultured bacterium. Its description in RNAcentral is "partial 16S ribosomal RNA". It matches the Rfam family "Bacterial small subunit ribosomal RNA", at positions 28 to 507 of the family's 1533-position model. The record is from RNAcentral.
GACGAACGCUGGCGGCGUGCUUAACACAUGCAAGUCGUACGGUAAGGCCCUUUCGGGUGUACACGAGUGGCGAACGGGUGAGUAACACGCGAGUAACCUGCCCACCACUCUUGGAUAUCGCUAGGAAACUGGGGCUAAUAUUGGAUAUGUGCUCCUGCUGCAUGGUGGGGGUUGGAAAGCUCCUGCGGUUGUGGAUGGACUCGCGGCCUAUCAGCUUGUUGGUGGGGUAGUGGCCUACCAAGGCGGCGACGGGUAGCCGGCCUGAGAGGGUGACCGGCCACAAUGGGACUGAGAUUCGGGCCAAGAUCCUACCGGGGGGAAGAGGGGGGGAAAUUUGCCAAUGGGCGCAAAGCUGAUGCAGCAGCGCCGCGGGGGGGAUGACCGGCCUCGGGUUGUAAACCGCUUUCAGCAGGGACGGAGCUUUUUGUGACGGUACCUGCAGAAGAAGCACCGGCUAACUACGUG